GGACAGACGUGCCCUUGUCCAACUGAAACGAACACACGUGUCCUGUUAAACUUGAAAAAAGACGAAAUUAUUUUUAAAAAGAUCAUGGUAACUCGUGAAGCAACAUCUCAGAAUUGAAUCGGCGAGUUGUGUAUUUGCUGGCAAUCCGAGCCUGCUUGGAUCAUUUUGGAAGAUACAUACGCCUGCGCUUUUCAAAGCGGACAGACAUGCCCGUGUCCAACUUGACAAAGGCGGAAUUAUUUUAGGAAAGGUAUAUUAUUUGUAAAAAAAAAUAUACAAUUUUUAAGUAACAUAUUUGACAGACCAUGGCUACUAGUAAAGCAGAAUCCGAGAAUUCAAUCGGCGGCUGUAUGUUGACUGACAAGAAUAUAAUUGCUGUUAAUCCGGCCCUGCUUCUUGUACAAAUGCAUAGUGGGGAGACAUGAACAUUUUUCGAAAUUGCGGCCCUAUCCUCUUGGGAUUCUACUUUGGACAAAUUCUGAAAACGACCCAGAAAUAUAAUUGGUGAGAAAAUAGUUUUUUUGUUGUGUUAACAGUUAACAAUUUUUUAUUUUGGAAAUAAGGGGUUUCAGUGUGUACUGGUAUUAGUGAAUCAAUUUAAUGACCUCAGCAUCUCUAAACCCCCAUCUUGAGACGCGUUAACGAUCCGGAUCGAGUUACGUCGCGUAAUUGUGUCACUUUUUUUAAUUAAAAAAUGAAAGAGAUGUACCUACCAUACUUUAGAAACCCCUACUCCCCUUUGGAGGUGAUGAAAUAAGUUUUGGCAUAAAAUAUAAGUUCCUCGUAUUACUUUGAUAUGAUAAGUAUAAGUCUUGCCUGUUUUUUUUUUUUUUAAAGGAGGUUCAAACCCGUGCGAGGUGAGGUUUGAUAUAUGAAACAGACCAGUCAUGGGGACACGAGAUAUGGAAAGUUUCAGCGUAGUCGUCGCCACAUUGCUGCCAACACUGCAUAUAUAAGGAAUCACGAACCAUUCAGGAAUAUUGAGACUUAGACCAGUAUCUUUUUAAGUAGGCAUGUGGGGUAAAGAAGACGCAGAAGCUUCAGUCGGGUACCAUCGGUAACGUAGGCGAUUGAUAU
This is a long non-coding RNA of Cylas formicarius (sweet potato weevil), 1077 nucleotides long. RefSeq lists it as uncharacterized. Lineage: Eukaryota; Metazoa; Arthropoda; Insecta; Coleoptera; Brentidae. The record is from RefSeq and is a predicted model, not a curated record. The transcript is spliced from 3 exons.